CCUACGGGUGGCAGCAGUCGAGAAUCAUUCACAAUGGGGGAAACCCUGAUGGUGCGACGCCGCGUGGGGGAAUGAAGGUCUUCGGAUUGUAAACCCCUGUCAUGUGGGAGCAAAUUAAAAAGAUAGUACCACAAGAGGAAGAGACGGCUAACUCUGUGCCAGCAGCCGCGGUAAUACAGAGGUCUCAAGCGUUGUUCGGAAUCACUGGGCGUAAAGCGUGCGUAGGCUGUUUCGUAAGUCGUGUGUGAAAGGCGCGGGCUCAACCCGCGGACGGCAGAUGAUACUGCGAGACUAGAGUACUGGAGGGGGAACCGGAAUUCUCGGUGUAGCAGUGAAAUGCGUAGAUAUCGAGAGGAACUCUCGUGGCGAAGGCGGGUUCCUGGACAUUAACUGACGCUGAGGCACGAAGGCCAGGGGAGCGAAAGGGAUUAGAUACCCCUGUAGUC
This 446-nucleotide ribosomal RNA is filed under the name uncultured bacterium. Its description in RNAcentral is "partial 16S ribosomal RNA". It matches the Rfam family "Bacterial small subunit ribosomal RNA", at positions 338 to 795 of the family's 1533-position model. The record is from RNAcentral.